This 468-nucleotide ribosomal RNA is filed under the name uncultured bacterium. RNAcentral's name for it is "partial 16S ribosomal RNA". It matches the Rfam family "Bacterial small subunit ribosomal RNA", at positions 28 to 507 of the family's 1533-position model. The record is from RNAcentral.
GACGAACGCUGGCGGCGUGCUUAACACAUGCAAGUCGAACGGAAAGGCCCUGCUUUUGUGGGGUGCUCGAGUGGCGAACGGGUGAGUAACACGUGAGUAACCUGCCCUUGACUUUGGGAUAACUUCAGGAAACUGGGGCUAAUACCGGAUAGGAGCUCCUGCUGCAUGGUGGGGGUUGGAAAGUUUCGGUGGUUGGGGAUGGACUCGCGGCUUAUCAGCUUGUUGGUGGGGUAGUGGCUUACCAAGGCUUUGACGGGUAGCCGGCCUGAGAGGGUGACCGGCCACAUUGGGACUGAGAUACGGCCCAGACUCCUACGGGAGGCAGCAGUGGGGAAUAUUGCACAAUGGGCGGAAGCCUGAUGCAGCAACGCCGCGUGCGGGAUGACGGCCUUCGGGUUGUAAACCGCUUUCGCCUGUGACGAAGCGUGAGUGACGGUAAUGGGUAAAGAAGCACCGGCUAACUACAUG